AUUGAACGCUGGCGGCAUGCCCUACACAUGCAAGUCGAACGGUAACAGGUUAAGCUGACGAGUGGCGAACGGGUGAGUAAUACAUCGGAACGUGCCCAGUAGUGGGGGAUAGCCCGGCGAAAGCCGGAUUAAUACCGCAUACGACCUAAGGGUGAAAGGGGGGGAUCGCAAGACCUCUCGCUAUUGGAGCGGCCGAUGUCAGAUUAGCUAGUUGGUGGGGUAAAAGCUCACCAAGGCGACGAUCUGUAGCUGGUCUGAGAGGACGACCAGCCACACUGGGACUGAGACACGGCCCAGACUCCUACGGGAGGCAGCAGUGGGGAAUUUUGGACAAUGGGCGCAAGCCUGAUCCAGCCAUGCCGCGUGCGGGAAGAAGGCCUUCGGGUUGUAAACCGCUUUUGUCAGGGAAGAAAUCCUUUGGGUUAAUACCUCGGGGGGAUGACGGUACCUGAAGAAUAAGCACCGGCUAACUACGUG
This 477-nucleotide ribosomal RNA is filed under the name uncultured bacterium. RNAcentral describes it as "partial 16S ribosomal RNA". It matches the Rfam family "Bacterial small subunit ribosomal RNA", at positions 30 to 507 of the family's 1533-position model. The record is from RNAcentral.